This 122-nucleotide non-coding RNA is filed under the name unclassified sequences. RNAcentral's name for it is "Flavobacterium-1 RNA". It matches the Rfam family "Flavobacterium-1 RNA". The record is from Rfam by way of RNAcentral.
CCGAGAGAAGGCGACCAUAUCUGCCCCUGGCAUUUCCCUGUUCGUAAGCAGUGACCGCAAGGUAGCAACGAAGUACUCGGACCGGCAGGCGCUGGGUUCCCUGAUCAGGAAGCGCGGCCGGU